CCAGACUCCUACGGGAGGCAGCAGUGAGGAAUAUUGGUCAAUGGGCGGGAGCCUGAACCAGCCAUGCCGCGUGAAGGCGAGUGCCCUACGGGCGUUAAACUUCUUUUGUGCGGGAGCAAUAAGGGCCACGCGUGGCCCGAUGAGAGUACCGCACGAAUAAGCAUCGGCUAACUCCGUGCCAGCAGCCGCGGUAAUACGGGGGAUGCGAGCGUUAUCCGGAUUUAUUGGGUUUAAAGGGUGCGCAGGCGGCGUGUCAAGUCAGCGGUAAAAUGUCGGGGCUCAACCCCGGCCGGCCGUUGAAACUGGCAUGCUCGAGUUGGAGAGAAGUAUGCGGAAUUCGUGGUGUAGCGGUGAAAUGCAUAGAUAUCACGAAGAACCCCGAUUGCGAAGGCAGCAUACCGGCUCCACACUGACGCUGAGGCACGAAAGCGUGGGUAUCGAACAGGAUUAGAUACCCUGGUAA
This 463-nucleotide ribosomal RNA is filed under the name uncultured bacterium. RNAcentral describes it as "bacterial SSU rRNA". It matches the Rfam family "Bacterial small subunit ribosomal RNA", at positions 331 to 793 of the family's 1533-position model. The record is from RNAcentral.